GGGGAAUUUUGGACAAUGGGCGCAAGCCUGAUCCAGCCAUGCCGCGUGUCUGAAGAAGGCCUUCGGGUUGUAAAGGACUUUUGUCAGGGAAGAAAAGGCUGUUGCUAAUACCGACAGCUGAUGACGGUACCUGAAGAAUAAGCACCGGCUAACUACGUGCCAGCAGCCGCGGUAAUACGUAGGGUGCGAGCGUUAAUCGGAAUUACUGGGCGUAAAGCGAGCGCAGACGGUUACUUAAGCAGGAUGUGAAAUCCCCGGGCUCAACCUGGGAACUGCGUUCUGAACUGGGUGACUAGAGUGUGUCAGAGGGAGGUAGAAUUCCACGUGUAGCAGUGAAAUGCGUAGAGAUGUGGAGGAAUACCGAUGGCGAAGGCAGCCCCCUGGGAUAACACUGACGUUCAUGCUCGAAAGCGUGGGUAGCAAACAGGAUUAGAUACCCUGGUAGUCCACGCCCUAAACGAUGUCAAUUAGCUGUUGGGCAACUUGAUUGCUUAGUAGCGUAGCUAACGCGUGAAAUUGACCGCCUGGGGAGUACGGUCGCGAGAUCA
This 548-nucleotide ribosomal RNA is filed under the name uncultured bacterium. RNAcentral's name for it is "bacterial SSU rRNA". It matches the Rfam family "Bacterial small subunit ribosomal RNA", at positions 356 to 896 of the family's 1533-position model. The record is from RNAcentral.